Non-coding RNA from Felis catus (domestic cat), 74 nucleotides. The record is from Rfam. Lineage: Eukaryota; Metazoa; Chordata; Mammalia; Carnivora; Felidae.
GUCUGGCUGGCUCAGUCGGCUAGAGCACGUGACUGUUGAUCUCAGGGUCGUGAGUUCAAGCCCCAUGUUGGGCA